ACAUACAGCCCUUUAUGAUAAAGGAUGCGUUAUGGACAGCUGACACGCAGGACUUUGAUGCAAUUCUACUGUUCUGUACGAGCGCUUUUUCAAACUCACCGCGAAUCCAGGGAACAUCGACCCCCUCCCGACAUAUUCCAGACCCCAACAGGCAACGAUCAACUGUGGCCCAAGUACACUGCUCAGAAUCAAGCCCACCCGAAAACUACUGUUGGGCCGGGAACUUGCUGCUUCACGAGCCGGCGCUCCAGGGACAAGACUGCCCGGAGACAGACCCAGCAGAAUCUGGAACGCUAGAGGGAAAAAGUCACACACCCCCGGUUUCGGCGAUUCGUCACAACAAGCGCCAAAAAAGCCGAGACUCCGCACCGGCGAAAAACGGCACAGACGACCACAUAAAUCUAGAGCUGGGGGAUUCCGGCGCCCCGAGCAUUCCGAAUGAAACACCCAAGAGACCUGUUUUUAAUGACAUGUCAGAUGUUGAUGACCAGCUAUUCUGUGAUGCGGCCAACCUUAUAGACCCAGUCAAUUCUACGGCCUCAAUACCUGCAGCCGAACAAGAAAGGUUUUUCACAUUAUUUUCCAGGGCUUUGAAAUCGAGGAAUGUUUUGCUAUACAAACGACUGGGGGAUUUAAUUGAGAGACAGUACAGAGACAAUAUGUUAUUCUGGCAUAGAACAAUUCCACGCAUGUUAAACAGCAACCCCAUUAAAAAACGCAAAUACAGACGCUAAAAUCAUACAUGUAACACCAACCAUUACAGAAAGAAAAAAAAAACGAACACUCUUAAUUAUCCAAAAAUGGCAGAACUAACGCAACACGGGGAGACAGUUGAAAGCCUCUUAUCCCAGAUUCCAGACGAACUCCUAGAAGUUAUAAGACGUAUGAACGAUUCAGGAACGUUAGAUGAAAGCAUAUUAACACAGAUUCCAGCCGAACUCUUAGAAAUGAUUAAUCGUAUGAACCAGUCAGGGGGGGUUGAGAAAAACAUGUUAUCCCAGAUUCCCGAACCCCUCAUAACCUUAAUUAAUCGUAUGAACGAGAGUCAGACAAUUUCGGCCCCGACAACCCCGACAGCGAUAGAACAACCCGUAACGCCUAGGACCGUAGAGUCUGAAACGCCACAAGAUGUUUUUGGGGAAUUGGACAAUUAUCUAAUAAAUCUGGUAGCAGAUGUUCAUGAUAGACGUGUCAGGGUUGUGUACAGGAAUAAAUUCAACAAUACAGAGAUUCGACAGUUUUUCAAUUUCCUAUGUGUGAAUCAGAAUCUUGACUAUGCUGUAUUUUACAUGAUGAUAAUGGACACUCUGAAUGACCUGUUAGAAACAGCAAGAGAUUAUGGCGAACCUCGUGAUGUCUUACAGUUGGAAAUAUGUGGAGAUAGCCUGCAUAAUUCAGUAUCUCUUAUUUUACCCAAUGGCGAAGCAGAUCUUGAACAAUUUACAGCGCUGGUAGAACGCCUUGUUCAGUCAAAUUUAGCCAUCAUAGCCGAUCGAACCCUAGAGCUUGUAGUGCAAAUAAUACGUCAACCACAGGGGGGCGGUGGGCAGAGAAGGAAGCUUGAUAGCCUAAUGCAGUCAGAAAUCAUAAGCAAUAAAAGGGCCUACCUCAUAAACGUUCACAAUCCCGAUAAUAAGCUAUGUUUUGCAAUAGGCCUAGCGCAUUUACUUAACCCCGGAUGUACUGAUCUGACGGCAUUGCAAAAGGCUAGAGAGAUCCAAACGGCGGUGGGUCUCGGGAUCCAUGAAGGCGUGGCAUUCUCAGACAUUGUCAAAUUUGAAAACCUUCUGAAUAUCAAGAUUGUGGUUUUGUACCACAGUAGAGCUAAUGCAGCUCUCUUGAAGUUCCAAAAC
Long non-coding RNA from Oncorhynchus nerka (sockeye salmon), 1853 nucleotides. RefSeq lists it as uncharacterized. The transcript has 3 exons. The record is from RefSeq and is a predicted model, not a curated record. Lineage: Eukaryota; Metazoa; Chordata; Actinopteri; Salmoniformes; Salmonidae.